RNAcentral lists this ribosomal RNA (883 nucleotides) under Trichoderma sp. RNAcentral describes it as "partial large subunit ribosomal RNA". It matches the Rfam family "Eukaryotic large subunit ribosomal RNA", at positions 40 to 953 of the family's 3401-position model. The record is from RNAcentral. Lineage: Eukaryota; Fungi; Ascomycota; Sordariomycetes; Hypocreales; Hypocreaceae.
AUAUCAAUAAGCGGAGGAAAAGAAACCAACAGGGAUUGCCCCAGUAACGGCGAGUGAAGCGGCAACAGCUCAAAUUUGAAAUCUGGUCCCUAGGGCCCGAGUUGUAAUUUGUAGAGGAUGCUUUUGGUGAGGUGCCGCCCGAGUUCCCUGGAACGGGACGCCACAGAGGGUGAGAGCCCCGUCUGGCUGGCCGCCGAGCCUCUGUAAAGCUCCUUCGACGAGUCGAGUAGUUUGGGAAUGCUGCUCAAAAUGGGAGGUAUAUGUCUUCUAAAGCUAAAUAUUGGCCAGAGACCGAUAGCGCACAAGUAGAGUGAUCGAAAGAUGAAAAGCACCUUGAAAAGAGGGUUAAAUAGUACGUGAAAUUGUUGAAAGGGAAGCGCUUGUGACCAGACUUGGGCGCGGCGGAUCAUCCGGGGUUCUCUCCGGUGCACUUCGCCGCGUCUAGGCCAGCAUCAGUUCGUCGCGGGGGAAAAAGGCUUCGGGAACGUGGCUCCUCCGGGAGUGUUAUAGCCCGUUGCAUAAUACCCUGCGGUGGACUGAGGACCGCGCAUCUGCAAGGAUGCUGGCGUAAUGGUCACCAGCGACCCGUCUUGAAACACGGACCAAGGAGUCGUCUUCGUAUGCGAGUGUUCGGGUGUCAAACCCCUACGCGUAAUGAAAGUGAACGCAGGUGAGAGCUUCGGCGCAUCAUCGACCGAUCCUGAUGUUCUCGGAUGGAUUUGAGUAAGAGCAUACGGGGCCGGACCCGAAAGAAGGUGAACUAUGCCUGUAUAGGGUGAAGCCAGAGGAAACUCUGGUGGAGGCUCGCAGCGGUUCUGACGUGCAAAUCGAUCGUCAAAUAUGGGCAUGGGGGCGAAAGACUAAUCGAACCUUCUAGUAGCUG